Leptopilina heterotoma is the source of this 194-nucleotide small nuclear RNA. RefSeq annotates it as U2 spliceosomal RNA. The transcript has a single exon. The record is from RefSeq and is a predicted model, not a curated record. NCBI's taxonomy places the organism in Eukaryota, Metazoa, Arthropoda, Insecta, Hymenoptera, Figitidae.
AUCGCUUCGAGGCCUAUGGCUAAGAUCAAAGUGUAGUAUCUGUUCUUAUCAGCUUGAUAUCUGAUACGCUCUCCAUUGGAGAGUCAGAAUAUCGAAUUGAUUUUUUAAAACCGGCGAAGAUUUUUUGGGGCUUGCUCCAGCUUUGUCAUGGGUUAACUCUGCCUUGCAUUACCGCAGAGAUUGGCCUAACAAAU